GGAGGGAUCAUUACCGAGUUUACAACUCCCAAACCCCUGUGAACAUACCACUUGUUGCCUCGGCGGAUCAGCCCGCUCCCGGUAAAACGGGACGGCCCGCCAGAGGACCCCUAAACUCUGUUUCUAUAUGUAACUUCUGAGUAAAACCAUAAAUAAAUCAAAACUUUCAACAACGGAUCUCUUGGUUCUGGCAUCGAUGAAGAACGCAGCAAAAUGCGAUAAGUAAUGUGAAUUGCAGAAUUCAGUGAAUCAUCGAAUCUUUGAACGCACAUUGCGCCCGCCAGUAUUCUGGCGGGCAUGCCUGUUCGAGCGUCAUUUCAACCCUCAAGCACAGCUUGGUGUUGGGACUCGCGUUAAUUCGCGUUCCCCAAAUUGAUUGGCGGUCACGUCGAGCUUCCAUAGCGUAGUAGUAAAACCCUCGUUACUGGUAAUCGUCGCGGCCACGCCGUUAAACCCCAACUUCUGAAUGUUGACCUCGGAUCAGGUAGGAAUACCCGCUGAACUUAAGCAUAU
RNAcentral lists this unclassified non-coding RNA (513 nucleotides) under Fusarium oxysporum. Its description in RNAcentral is "sequence contains ITS1, 5.8S rRNA gene, ITS2". The stretch from base 162 to 315 matches the Rfam family "5.8S ribosomal RNA". Lineage: Eukaryota; Fungi; Ascomycota; Sordariomycetes; Hypocreales; Nectriaceae. The record is from RNAcentral.